This 2978-nucleotide long non-coding RNA is filed under the name Oncorhynchus mykiss (rainbow trout). RNAcentral describes it as "lncRNA (ENSOMYG00000074428.1)". The record is from RNAcentral. Lineage: Eukaryota; Metazoa; Chordata; Actinopteri; Salmoniformes; Salmonidae.
AUGUAUUGUCAGGUACAUGUACUGCAUCCAUCCAUCCUCUAUCUCUAUCUAUCAGUUACAUGUACUGCAGUCAUCCAUCCAUCCAUCCAUCCAUCCAUCCAUCCUCUAUCUCUAUCUAACAGUUACAUGUACUGCAUCCAUCCAUCCAUCCAUCCAUCCAUCCAUCCAUCCAUCCAUCCUCUAUCUCUAUCUGUCAGUUACAUGUACUGCAGUCAUCCAUCCUCUAUCUGUCAGGUACAUGUAGUGCCUCAUCCAUUCUCUAUCUCUAUCUAUCAGGUCCAUGUACUGCCUCAUUCAUCCUCUAUCUCUAUCUAUCAGGUAAAUGUACUGCCUAAUCCAUCCUCUAUCUCUAUCUGUCAGGUACAUGUAGUGCCUCAUCCAUCCUCUAUCUCUAUCUAUCAGGUUAAUGUACUGCCUCAUCCAUCCUCUAUCUCUAUCUAUCAGGUUAAUGUACUGCCUCAUCCAUCCUCUAUCUCUAUCUAUCAGGUUCAUGUACUGCCUCAUCCAUCCUCUAUCUCUAUCUAUCAGGUACAUGUACUGCCUAAUCCAUCCUCUAUCUCUAUCUAUCAGGUACAUGUACUGCCUCAUCCAUCCUCUAUCUCUAUCUAUCAGGUACAUGUACUGCCUCAUCCAUCCUAAAGUAUAAAUAAUUUCAAAUGCAUAGACAAUAAUAUCCACGGUCUGUUCCAGAGUCUAAUCCACAGUUUGAUCCACAGUCUGAUCCACAGUCUGAACCACAGCCUGAUCCACAGCAUGGUCCACAGUCUGUUCCACAGUCUGUUCCACGGUCUGUUCCACGGUCUGAUCCACAGUCUGAUCCACAGUCUGAUCCACAGUCUGAUCCACAGUCUGAUCCACAGUCUGAUCCACAGUUUGAACCACAGCAUGAUCCACAGCAUAAUGCACAGCAUGGUCCACAGUCUGUUCCACAGUCUGAUCCACGGUCUAAUCCACAGUCUGUCUAAUCCACAGUCUGAUCCACAGUCUAAUCCAGUCUGAUCCACAGUCUGACCCACAGUCUGAUCCACAGAGUUUUUAAACCUAAUCUGUAUACCAGAGGAGGCUGGUGGGAAAAGCUAGACAUGUGCUUUCCAUGUGUUUAAUGUGUUUUAUACGGUUACAUUGAUUCCAUUCCAGCCAAUACAAUGAGCCCGUCCUCCUAUAGCUCCUCCCUCCAGCCUCCUCUGGUGGAUACCACGGGAAGUGGCAGCACAGAAUUAUCAGCCUUACACAACUAGCUGGCCUCCAUAUGUAAAUGUUAUAUCUUUCUACCAGAGAUAUUAUAAGGUUAGUUCAUUACAUAAGAGUUAUGAGGAGAGGGAACCAGAUCAACCCUGUUAAACUUCAUGGCUCCAUCUCCUACUCUAUUUCACUCUCUCAAUCCCCCUCUCUCUCUCUAUAUAUACUCUCUCAAUCCCCCUCUCUCUCUAUAUAUAUAUUCUCUCUCUCUCUCUCUCUCUCUCUCUCUCUUUCCAUCUCUCUUGCCCUCUCUCUCUUUUUCUCUCUCUGUCUCGCGCCCUCUCUCUCUUUCUUUCACUCCCUCUCAUGUGUUUUCUAUAAAAGCCCUUCUAUCAUUCAAGGCAUCACAAAGAGCAUGUUAAAUGGACCUGCCUGUCGUCGCCUGUCGUCUUUGAUACGUACAGGCUAUUACAUUACUAACCACAGGCAGGAAGAUGUUCACUACGACCAUGUUUGGUAAGAUGGUGUUUAGCGGUUAUCCCCCAGAAACAAACAGACUGAAAAGAAAGGAAGGGAAGGGAGAGAGGAGGAUGUUGUUGGACAAACACUGGAGUCCAUCUGAUGUCUUUUCAAAUAAAACAUUUCUGUGGACUGAAGGAACAUACAUGAAUAAAUUAUAACUCAGCUGUUUAACUGUAAAUAGCUAGCAUCAAUAUAGUAUAUCUCAGCUGUUUAACUGUAUAUAGCUAGCAUCAAUAUAGUAUAUCUCAGCUGUUUAACUGUAUAUAGCUAGCAUCAAUAUAGUAUAUCUCAGCUGUUUAACUGUAUAUAGCUAGCAUCAAUAUAGUGUAUCUCAGCUGUUUAACUGUAUAUAGCUAGCAUCAAUAUAGCAUAUCUCAGCUGUUUAACUGUAUAUAGCUAGCAUCAAUAUAGUAUAUAUCAGCUGUUUAACUGUAUAUAGCUAGCAUCAAUAUAGUAUAUCUCAGCUGUUUAACUGUAUAUAGCUAGCAUCAAUAUAGUAUAUAUCAUCUGUUUAACUGUAAAUAGCUAGCAUCAAUAUAGUAUAUCUCAACUGUUUAACUGUAAAUAGCUAGCUACAAUUCAAUUUAGUAUAUCUCAGCUGCUUAACUGUAUAUAGCUAGCAUCAAUAUAGUAUAUCUCAACUGUUUAAUUGUAUAGAAUUGUAGAUAAAGGCUUAGUGUCGUUAUCCUCGUAAUGGGAGGGUGUUGGAGUCCUGAAAACAGGGGAUGCAGUCACUUUCGCCCCUGUCUUUGUUUUGGUUUUUGUUCUACAGUUCUAACAAUAACAAAGCUGUUGUUUUGGUAAACAGCUACGGGUAUAAGGGCACAAGGCAGAGACCCAGAGGCAGACACGGGAGGCAGACACGGGAGGCAGACACGGGAGGCAGACACGGGAGGCAGACACGGGAGGCAGACACGGGAUGCAGACACGGGAGGCAGACCCAGAGGCAGACCCGGGAGGCAGACACGGGAGUCAGACACGGGAGGCAGACACGGGAGGCAGAGACCCAGAGGCAGACACGGGAGGCAGACACGGGAGGCAGAGACCCAGAGGCAGACACGGGAGGCAGACACGGGAGGCAGACACGGGAGGCAGAGACCCAGAGGCAGACACGGGAGGCAGACACGGGAGGCAGACACGGGAGGCAGACACGGGAGGCAGACACGGGAGGCAGAGACGGGAAGCAGACACGGGAGGCAGACACGAGAGGCAGAGACGGGAGGCAGGUGGUUUGAGUCUUUUGAUAUUUAUUAAGAGGCCAGGAGGUACAGUCUGGC